UACCAGCAUAAGCUAGUAUGAGAAAAAUACACAAGGAAAUACUAAAUUAAAUCUAAUAGCUUGCCCUCGUUACUUGAGUCAAAUAUAUAUCCCUCAAGUUUUCCACAUUACUUACAUAGUCAAAUACAGUAUAUCUUCACUUGCGUACAUUGCAUACUAGUCAAGACAAAUUUAACCAAGAUACCAACAUCCAACUACCACUUGACAUAAACCAAUAACAAUCAUACAGCAACUGAACUCAGACAUCAUUUGUAAGUUUGUGGAAAUAAGGUAGGUUCUGGACAAGAGACCAUGCGACGGUGACUUCAAACUUACAACGGUGAACUUCAAGCAUACGCAUGCUCCUGGAGGCUUUCUUGGCUCUGAAUGCUUCUGAAUCUCUCUCAACAGUUUGAUCCUCCAAGCUACUUGCCAUGACGGAGACAUCAUUUGUAAGUUUGUGGAAAUAAGGUAGGUUCUGGACAAGAGACCAUGCGACGGUGACUUCAAACUUACAACGGUGAACUUCAAGCAUACGCAUGCUCCUGGAGGCUUUCUUGGCUCUGAAUGCUUCUGAAUCUCUCUCAACAGUUUGAUCCUCCAAGCUACUUGCCAUGACGGAGACUAUCAACUCUCCAUUAGCUUCAACAGAUACAACAUGUCAUGAAAGCUGUAUCAUGCCAUCAGCUGCAAGAGGCAACUUAUCUCCGAACGCAAGCAACUCGAUUUUCUUGGCAUCAAUACUGGCCGUGUUGGCAGAAAUUAAACCUUGAAAACCUCCUGGCCAUUCCCCACCAACAACUCUCACACUGAUGGUGGCCUCCACUGAAUUAACAAUAUCACCCAGCAUCAAUGCCACUGUGCUAAGCUUGCUGGUGCUGACACGUUUAAUCACGUAUGAUUCACUAGAACCAGAAUCAUGAUAAUAAAAAACUAGAUUACUCAAUUCUCUGUCCUCUGAUUCAGUUCUGCCCUUAACUCGCAAGUUAACCUCAAAGGACGCAGGAUCCACAACAACAACAGCGCGGGUAGGACCUGUC
Molecule: long non-coding RNA, 1019 nt
Filed under: Triticum aestivum (bread wheat)
Lineage: Eukaryota; Viridiplantae; Streptophyta; Magnoliopsida; Poales; Poaceae
Description: long non-coding RNA (TAES_LNC027181)
Source: RNAcentral